UUUUCCCGCUGGAGCGGGACGAGGAAAGUGA
RNAcentral lists this small RNA (31 nucleotides) under Sinorhizobium meliloti 2011. Its description in RNAcentral is "putative ncRNA". The record is from RNAcentral. Lineage: Bacteria; Pseudomonadati; Pseudomonadota; Alphaproteobacteria; Hyphomicrobiales; Rhizobiaceae.